Molecule: long non-coding RNA, 828 nt
Filed under: Homo sapiens (human)
Lineage: Eukaryota; Metazoa; Chordata; Mammalia; Primates; Hominidae
Description: lncAB214.1
Source: RNAcentral
UCAGUAGCAGAGCAAAGCCUCUACUUGAAAAAAACCACGUAGCUGAUUGGGUUUUACAAGAGUGCAUUUGUCUCCCCCUUCCACCCCCCCACCUUCAGGUCUUAGUGGUUCACAAGAGCCCAGCAGCCAGGCUGGCUUUUUCAUUGUAGGGCGUGGUUGUCCCAGCUGGUGUAGAUUUCAGGCCGCCUCCCCCCAUCUCCCUGCCCACAGUGUUGCAGAUUGCCUGGCUGGCAGCAAGUCCAGACCACCCAAAUUUGGUUGGAUUCUUCAUUUCUCCACUGUAGUUGGGGUCCAUUGAUUGUGCAGGGGAACGUGCAGGAGGUUUUUCUAGGCACUGCGUUCAGUGCUGCUUCACUCUACCAGAGAUUAUGGCCAAAUUGCACGGAAUUUGGUUUCUUGCCCUCUGAAGCCUGAGGGCCCCCCCUUGCCUGGCUGGUUGACAGACCCGGGGUGCUCACUGCUGAGACUUCAGAGAUCGCAGCUGCUGUGAGAAUACGGUGAAGGUACUAUGUUCUGGAAGAUGUUGUCAUACACUUUUCCCCAGUUAUUUUCAAACUUGACAUGAGCCUAUGUUGACUCACUGGGUGGGGUCCCUUCUUACGCAGCACACGUGGCAAGUGCCUGAAUCGGGGCUGGAGGCACUUCAGAGCCUCUGAGGGGCCACCACUUCUGGCCCAAAAUUGCAGGGUUGUAGAUGAGGCUGCCUGUGGAGAACUGGUGUGAGGAGGAAGCUGUUUCCAACAAAGAGCACUUUCAUCUGUUGAGAUGGCUGUGGUGAGCAACUGAACGAGCCUACGUGUGUACCUGAAUUUUCCCCAUAACUCAUUU